RNAcentral lists this ribosomal RNA (1643 nucleotides) under Plasmodium inui. RNAcentral's name for it is "SSU rRNA". It matches the Rfam family "Eukaryotic small subunit ribosomal RNA", at positions 37 to 1460 of the family's 1831-position model. Lineage: Eukaryota; Apicomplexa; Aconoidasida; Haemosporida; Plasmodiidae. The record is from RNAcentral.
UCAAAGAUUAAGCCAUGCAAGUGAAAGUAUAUGCAUAUUUUAUAUGUAGAAACUGCGAACGGCUCAUUAAAACAGUUAUAAUCUACUUGACAUUUUUUCUAUAAGGAUAACUACGGAAAAGCUGUAGCUAAUACUUGCUUUAGCACUCUUGAUUAAGUUCUUGAGUGUGUACUUGUUAAGCCUUUUAAGAAAAAAGUUAUUAACUUAAGGAAUUAUAACAAAGAAGCAACACGUAAAUGGAUUUUCCAUUUUUUAGUGUGUAUCAAUCGAGUUUCUGACCUAUCAGCUUUUGAUGUUAGGGUAUUGGCCUAACAUGGCUAUGACGGGUAACGGGGAAUUAGAGUUCGAUUCCGGAGAGGGAGCCUGAGAAAUAGCUACCACAUCUAAGGAAGGCAGCAAGCGCGUAAAUUACCCAAUUCUAAAGAAGAGAGGUAGUGACAAGAAAUAACAAUACAAGGCCAAUCUGGCUUUGUAAUUGGAAUGAUGGGAAUUUAAAACCUUCCCAAAACUCAAUUGGAGGGCAAGUCUGGUGCCAGCAGCCGCGGUAAUUCCAGCUCCAAUAGCGUAUAUUAAAAUUGUUGCAGUUAAAACGCUCGUAGUUGAAUUUCAAAGAAUCGAUAUUUUAAGUAGCACUUUGUAGAUUAAUCCACAUAACUGAUACUACGUAUCGACUUUGUGAGCAUUUUUCUACUUAUGUGUUCUUUUAAUUAAAAUGAUUCUUUUUAAGAUCUUUCUUUUUUGCUUCGGCAUUUUAGGAGAUCUUGUUACUUUGAGUAAAUUAGAGUGUUCAAAGCAAACAGAUUAUAGCAUCUUUAUGCGUUUGAAUACUAUAGCAUGGAAUAACAAAAUUGAACAAGUCAGAAUUUUGUUCUUUUUUCUUAUUUUGGCUUAGUUACGAUUAAUAGGAGUAGCUUGGGGGCAUUUGUAUUCAGAUGUCAGAGGUGAAAUUCUUAGAUUUUCUGGAGACAAACAACUGCGAAAGCAUUUGCCUAAAAUACUUCCAUUAAUCAAGAACGAAAGUUAAGGGAGUGAAGACGAUCAGAUACCGUCGUAAUCUUAACCAUAAACUAUGCCGACUAGGCUUUGGAUGAAAGAUUUUAAAAUAAGAGUUUUUUCUCUGAGGAGUUAAAACUCUUAGAUUGCUUCCUUCAGUGCCUUAUGAGAAAUCAAAGUCUUUGGGUUCUGGGGCGAGUAUUCGCGCAAGCGAGAAAGUUAAAAGAAUUGACGGAAGGGCACCACCAGGCGUGGAGCUUGCGGCUUAAUUUGACUCAACACGGGAAAACUCACUAGUUUAAGACAAGAGUAGGAUUGACAGAUUAAUAGCUCUUUCUUGAUUUCUUGGAUGGUGAUGCAUGGCCGUUUUUAGUUCGUGAAUAUGAUUUGUCUGGUUAAUUCCGAUAACGAACGAGAUCUUAACCUGCUAAUUAGCGGCAAAUACGAUAUAUUCUUAUGUGGAAUUGAAUAUAGUUGAUUUGUUUAUUUUGAAGAAAAUAUUGGGAUACGUAAAUGUAUCCCUUUCCCUUUUCUACUUAAUUUGCUUAUCAUACUAUUUCUUUUUUGCGUAAGAAUGUAUUUGCUUGAUUGUAAAGCUUCUUAGAGGAACGAUGUGUGUCUAACACAAGGGAGUUUAAGGCAACAACAGG